This 328-nucleotide ribosomal RNA is filed under the name uncultured eukaryote. RNAcentral's name for it is "partial 18S ribosomal RNA". It matches the Rfam family "Eukaryotic small subunit ribosomal RNA", at positions 1470 to 1796 of the family's 1831-position model. The record is from RNAcentral.
CCCUUAGAUGUUCUGGGCUGCACGCGCGCUACACUGAUGCGCUCAACGAGUUUACGACCUUGCCCGGAAGGGUUGGGUAAUCUUUUUAAAACGCAUUGUGAUGGGGAUAGAUUAUUGAAAUUAUUAAUCUUGAACGAGGAAUUCCUAGUAAACGCAGAUCAUCAAUCUGCAUUGAUUACGUCCCUGCCCUUUGUACACACCGCCCGUCGCACCUACCGAUUGGAUGGUCCGGUGAAGCCUCGGGAUUGUGGUUCUUGCCGCUUUAUUGUGGCGUGACCGCGAGAACUUGUCUAAACCUUAUCAUCUAGAGGAAGGUGAAGUCGUAACA